Molecule: long non-coding RNA, 368 nt
Organism: Nematostella vectensis (starlet sea anemone)
Lineage: Eukaryota; Metazoa; Cnidaria; Anthozoa; Actiniaria; Edwardsiidae
Exons: 4
Source: RefSeq, a predicted model, not a curated record
ACAAAAUGUAAGCCCCACUAUAUAAAUUCCAAUUCGUCAUAUGUGUCCAUCAUUGUCGUCACUCUUUUCAGAAUCAACAUGGCAGCUUUUAAAUUUUUGUUUUUCCUGGUCGCUGUUGCUUUCGUGACAGACAUUGCUGUGAGUCAGACAUGUACCUUGCCCUUUGGAAACGGUCAAACAGGUUUUUGCAGCAACCAAUGCCCUUCUGGGUACAUUGGAGCCUGGGACCUUCCCCACCAGUGUGGCGGGAUGUCAGGGAACCAAUGCUGCUUCAUGCAAACUUAAGGAUGGCUCGUAACUACUGUGCCGAAUGGGAUAUACAAUAGCCCAGGGUUAUCCAAACAAUAAAGACGUUACUGAUUGCUUCA